GAAUAGCUCAGUUUGGUAGAGCAUGAGACUCUUAAUCCCAAGGUCAUGGGUUCAAGCCGCUGGGGUCCCUUCCAACU
This is a non-coding RNA of Podarcis lilfordi (Lilford's wall lizard), 77 nucleotides long. NCBI's taxonomy places the organism in Eukaryota, Metazoa, Chordata, Lepidosauria, Squamata, Lacertidae. The record is from the annotation of a GenBank genome assembly.